This 61-nucleotide transfer RNA is filed under the name Clostridioides difficile. RNAcentral describes it as "tRNA-Asp". It matches the Rfam family "tRNA", at positions 7 to 64 of the family's 71-position model. Rfam says of the family: Transfer RNA (tRNA) molecules are approximately 80 nucleotides in length. Their secondary structure includes four short double-helical elements and three loops (D, anti-codon, and T loops). Further hydrogen bonds mediate the characteristic L-shaped molecular structure. tRNAs have two regions of fundamental functional importance: the anti-codon, which is responsible for specific mRNA codon recognition, and the 3' end, to which the tRNAs corresponding amino acid is attached (by aminoacyl-tRNA synthetases). tRNAs cope with the degeneracy of the genetic code in two manners: having more than one tRNA (with a specific anti-codon) for a particular amino acid; and 'wobble' base-pairing, i.e. permitting non-standard base-pairing at the 3rd anti-codon position. The record is from RNAcentral. Lineage: Bacteria; Bacillati; Bacillota; Clostridia; Peptostreptococcales; Peptostreptococcaceae.
GUAGUUCAGUUGGUUAGAAUGCCAGCCUGUCACGCUGGAGGUCGAGGGUUCGAGCCCCUUC